ACUCCUACGGGAGGCAGCAGUAGGGAAUCUUCCACAAUGGACGCAAGUCUGAUGGAGCAACGCCGCGUGAGUGAAGAAGGGUUUCGGCUCGUAAAGCUCUGUUGUUAAAGAAGAACGUGGGUAAGAGUAACUGUUUACCCAGUGACGGUAUUUAACCAGAAAGCCACGGCUAACUACGUGCCAGCAGCCGCGGUAAUACGUAGGUGGCAAGCGUUAUCCGGAUUUAUUGGGCGUAAAGCGAGCGCAGGCGGUCUUUUAAGUCUAAUGUGAAAGCCUUCGGCUCAACCGAAGAAGUGCAUUGGAAACUGGGAGACUUGAGUGCAGAAGAGGACAGUGGAACUCCAUGUGUAGCGGUGAAAUGCGUAGAUAUAUGGAAGAACACCAGUGGCGAAGGCGGCUGUCUGGUCUGCAACUGACGCUGAGGCUCGAAAGCAUGGGUAGCGAACAGGAUUAGAUACCCUGGUAGUCCAUGCCGUAAACGAUGAUUACUAAGUGUUGGAGGGUUUCCGCCCUUCAGUGCUGCAGCUAACGCAUUAAGUAAUCCGCCUGGGGAGUACGACCGCAAGGUUGAAACUCAAAAGAAUUGACGGGGGCCCGCACAAGCGGUGGAGCAUGUGGUUUAAUUCGAAGCUACGCGAAGAACCUUACCAGGUCUUGACAUCUUCUGACAGUCUAAGAGAUUAGAGGUUCCCUUCGGGGACAGAAUGACAGGUGGUGCAUGGUUGUCGUCAGCUCGUGUCGUGAGAUGUUGGGUUAAGUCCCGCAACGAGCGCAACCCUUAUUACUAGUUGCCAGCAUUAAGUUGGGCACUCUAGUGAGACUGCCGGUGACAAACCGGAGGAAGGUGGGGACGACGUCAAAUCAUCAUGCCCCUUAUGACCUGGGCUACACACGUGCUACAAUGGAUGGUACAACGAGUCGCGAGACCGCGAGGUUAAGCUAAUCUCUUAAAACCAUUCUCAGUUCGGACUGUAGGCUGCAACUCGCCUACACGAAGUCGGAAUCGCUAGUAAUCG
Molecule: ribosomal RNA, 1016 nt
Filed under: Pediococcus pentosaceus
Lineage: Bacteria; Bacillati; Bacillota; Bacilli; Lactobacillales; Lactobacillaceae
Description: bacterial SSU rRNA
Rfam family: Bacterial small subunit ribosomal RNA
Source: RNAcentral